RNAcentral lists this ribosomal RNA (502 nucleotides) under uncultured bacterium. Its description in RNAcentral is "bacterial SSU rRNA". It matches the Rfam family "Bacterial small subunit ribosomal RNA", at positions 28 to 524 of the family's 1533-position model. The record is from RNAcentral.
GAUGAACGCUAGCGGCAGGCUUAAUACAUGCAAGUCGAGGGGCAGCACGGUUAGCAAUAACUGGUGGCGACCGGCGCACGGGUGCGUAACACGUAUACAAUCUACCUUAAACAGGGGGAUAGCCUUUCGAAAGAGAGAUUAAUACCCCGUAAUAAAUUGAACGGCAUCGUUUGAUUUUGAAAGCUCCGGCGGUUUGAGAUGAGUAUGCGUCUGAUUAGCUAGUUGGUGAGGUAACGGCUCACCAAGGCGACGAUCAGUAGGGGAUCUGAGAGGACUAACCCCCACACUGGUACUGAGACACGGACCAGACUCCUACGGGAGGCAGCAGUAAGGAAUAUUGGUCAAUGGAGGCAACUCUGAACCAGCCAUGCCGCGUGCAGGAUGACGGCCCUAUGGGUUGUAAACUGCUUUUAUACAAGAGAAAACCCUGGUACGUGUACCAGGUUGAUAGUAUUGUAAGAAUAAGCAUCGGCUAAACUUUCGUGCCAGCAGCCGCGGUAAU